This 468-nucleotide ribosomal RNA is filed under the name uncultured bacterium. RNAcentral's name for it is "partial 16S ribosomal RNA". It matches the Rfam family "Bacterial small subunit ribosomal RNA", at positions 28 to 507 of the family's 1533-position model. The record is from RNAcentral.
GACGAACGCUGGCGGCGUGCUUAACACAUGCAAGUCGAACGGAAAGGCCCUGCUUUUGUGGGGUGCUCGAGUGGCGAACGGGUGAGUAACACGUGAGUAACCUGCCCUUGACUUUGGGAUAACUUCAGGAAACUGGGGCUAAUACCGGAUAGGAGAUCCUGCUGCAUGGUGGGGGUUGGAAAGUUUCGGCGGUUGGGGAUGGACUGGCGGCUUAUCAGCUUGUUGGUGGGGUAGUGGCUUACCAAGGCUUUGACGGGUAGCCGGCCUGAGAGGGUGACCGGCGACAUUGGGACUGAGAGACGGCCCAGACUCCUACGGGAGGCAGCAGUGGGGAAUAUUGCACAAUGAGCGGAAGCCUGAUGCAGCAGCGCCGCGUGCGGGAUGACGGCCUUCGGGUUGUAAACCGCUUUCGCCUGUGACGAAGCGUGAGUGACGGUAAUGGGUAAAGAAGCACCGGCUAACUACGUG